CCCAAGGGUUAUGGUGUCAUAAAAAUCCCUUAUGCCGUCUUUCUAUUUCCUUAUUGGUGUAAGACUCUUGGGGUCCAAGAGUUGGAUGCCUCAAGAGACUUUCAUGUGAAGAAGUGAGUGCCACUUGAGAGUUGUGCAUUUUGUGGACUCCAUCUUACAUGAAAAAGUGACCACACCUCAUAUGGAUGAGCACGACACAUCUCACGCCCUAUCUUCUUCUCUCUGGGACAACCAAGUAGUUGGACGUCCUAAGAUCUCACCCUCUCUCUUGUAUGUCUAAGAAGUUGGACGUCCCAACCUUAGUGUUUUGGCAUCAAAAGGUGAAAAGAGUUUCACGCGACCCUUCAAGCCUUGAAAAUUCUUGCAUUAAAGAGUUUGAUGUCAAGAAAUCAGAUCUAAACCCCAAAAAAAGUUCUUGGUAAUGCCAAAAGAAAAGAGAGAGAUGGACUAUCGGAUUUUCUUUAGAAGAAAAUCAAAAAAAGAUCAAGAAAGAUUCCUGAUCCAUUCGCGUAUGGAGCGUGAUCUGUAAAGAAAAAAAGCUAAAAUCCUUGAGAA
This 555-nucleotide long non-coding RNA is filed under the name Elaeis guineensis (African oil palm). RNAcentral describes it as "long non-coding RNA (EGUI_LNC039159)". The record is from RNAcentral. Lineage: Eukaryota; Viridiplantae; Streptophyta; Magnoliopsida; Arecales; Arecaceae.